CUCCUGCUGUAUCAACGUACACAAGUUAUUCGUCACCCCCCGGUUAUUUUGCUGCAGCCGGACUGCGGCAGAUGGUGGCCCGUUACGGGGAGCCCCGGGACACUCGGGGGUAAGUGACGAAAAAAAGCUGCCCGUCCAUAGAUAGGACGGGAGCAAAUCUGCUCGUCCCUAGGCAGAUAGGGCGAGAGGAAAAAUGGCCAUUUCGAGAAAAUGGAGAAGAUUGAUACAGUAUGUUUGUGUCUUGUUUUGUCUCAGUGUAUUGUAUUGUCUUUGUGAUGAAAAUAUGGAAGGGGUGAGAAGUAAAUUACUAAGGGAAGAAGGCACCCCAGUGGAACCAAGAAUAGUUAGGGCAUGUGUUGAUAAGAGCCCAGGAACUCUAGUCAGAAAGAAAAAGAAAGUUCAGAAGAAGAAGGAUUAUCAGGAAAAAAGUUGCAGCAAAAGGCUAUUACUAAAUACUUUUCGUUACCGGAGGGUGCGUGAAUCGGUGCAGCGGCUGCCGAGUGUGCAAGCCGGUCACAGCAUAGCAAGGAUUUUCCAAGAGGCGGCGGCGACUGGCCCUUCCCCGCCUCCUGGCCGGGGAGCUGGCUCUUCCACUGCCAGGAGCCCAAAUCUAGACCUGACCUGGAGGCACAGUCUCGCAGGCUCUUGCUCCCUGUGCCCAGUAGCAGUUUGAGUCCGGGACACUCCCCAGGGCCAUCUGGGGCUGCCCAGGCACUACAGCCAGCAGAAGACACUACUGGUGUCCCUGAUGUUUGGUCAUUUUCAAUGCCAAUAACUAAGCUACAAUGGUUCUCCCACACCUGGAAGCUGAUGAGUAAUGAGCACUAUUAAUGCUUAUUUCAAAUGCAAAAAAAACCUUGAAAUAAUGUACUAAAUUGUUCAGAAGGUUGUUUUCUUAGUAGUAUACUACAGGAUUUUCUUUAGCCAUCCGGAGUUCCUGCCUUCAUCCCAGUGCCAGUGAAGACGAAGGUGGAAGAAUUUCCAGUGUUGCUGAGAAACAGACGAGACUUCGGAUCAAGCUAGUUGCCUGCAGAACUUAUCUGGACUGUGAUUUAAGCUAGCUGCCUGCAGAACUUACCUGGACUGUGAUUUACCUGGACUCUGAGUUAAUCUAUUGAGACACUGCUUUACCUGGACUGACACAACAAAAUGUAAUCUACAACAAAUUGUAACUCGGUAUCUUUGCAGAUGGUGUCAUUGCUGGUAUAAUUUUUCCAAGGGCUUCUUGCAUGGAGCCAUCAAUUGGCUUGGUAUUGUGGCAUUUUGUAUCCUCCCUUUCUGUUUGUAGCAGGUUAUUUAUGGUGUUUCUGUAAAAACCACUAUGGUCAUUAUUUAAAUUAAACAAAAGGGGGAAAUGUUAGAGUCUGUAAACAAGUCAAAAUAACACCUGGCAUUUUGCCAGGGGAAUGUUAGAGUUCGUAAACAAGUCUGGAUGGUGCCUGGCAAAAUGCCAGAGGGAGUGGUUUGAGAAGUAACAAAAGCGAGCCAUUAAGUGUGGAGAUUCCUUAUUGGUUGACUGAUGUAUGUAGUUUAUGCUAAUUAGAUAAGCUGUG
Molecule: long non-coding RNA, 1553 nt
Filed under: Marmota monax (woodchuck)
Lineage: Eukaryota; Metazoa; Chordata; Mammalia; Rodentia; Sciuridae
Source: RNAcentral